ACACACCAAAAAGGGUGACGCAUCCAAGAACCGGAAAUUGAGUCAUUGCUGGAUCCUCCAUAUGGUGGAUUCGGGCACCGUCCUGGGCCCCGCUGUAGUCGUGCUGGCUAGCGGUCACACAAAACGAGUGUCCAAAACUCAGAAACAAAUCGAGACAAUCCGUCAUCCGAUUAUUUAAAUAAAA
This 184-nucleotide unclassified non-coding RNA is filed under the name Maize fine streak virus. Its description in RNAcentral is "Maize fine streak nucleorhabdovirus miscellaneous RNA". The record is from RNAcentral. Lineage: Riboviria; Orthornavirae; Negarnaviricota; Monjiviricetes; Mononegavirales; Rhabdoviridae.